This 938-nucleotide ribosomal RNA is filed under the name Gilliamella sp. RNAcentral describes it as "bacterial SSU rRNA". It matches the Rfam family "Bacterial small subunit ribosomal RNA", at positions 56 to 987 of the family's 1533-position model. The record is from RNAcentral. Lineage: Bacteria; Pseudomonadati; Pseudomonadota; Gammaproteobacteria; Orbales; Orbaceae.
UGCAAGUCGAACGGUAACAUGAGUGCUUGCACUUGAUGACGAGUGGCGGACGGGUGAGUAAAGUAUGGGGAUCUGCCGAAUGGAAGGGGACAACAGUUGGAAACGACUGCUAAUACCGUAUAAUGUCGCGAGACCAAAGCAUGGGACUUUCGGGCCAUGCGCCAUUUGAUGAACCCAUAUGGGAUUAGCUAGUAGGUGGGGUAAAGGCUCACCUAGGCGACGAUCUCUAGCUGGUCUGAGAGGAUGACCAGCCACACUGGAACUGAGACACGGUCCAGACUCCUACGGGAGGCAGCAGUGGGGAAUAUUGCACAAUGGGGGGAACCCUGAUGCAGCCAUGCCGCGUGUAUGAAGAAGGCCUUCGGGUUGUAAAGUACUUUCGGUGAUGAGGAAGGUAAUGUAUCUAAUAGGUGCAUUAAUUGACGUUAAUCACAGAAGAAGCACCGGCUAACUCCGUGCCAGCAGCCGCGGUAAUACGGAGGGUGCGAGCGUUAAUCGGAAUGACUGGGCGUAAAGGGCAUGUAGGCGGAUAAUUAAGUUAGGUGUGAAAGCCCUGGGCUCAACCUAGGAAUUGCACUUAAAACUGGUUAACUAGAGUAUUGUAGAGGAAGGUAGAAUUCCACGUGUAGCGGUGAAAUGCGUAGAGAUGUGGAGGAAUACCGGUGGCGAAGGCGGCCUUCUGGACAGAUACUGACGCUGAGAUGCGAAAGCGUGGGGAGCAAACAGGAUUAGAUACCCUGGUAGUCCACGCUGUAAACGAUGUCGAUUUGGAGUUUGUUGCCUAGAGUGAUGGGCUCCGAAGCUAACGCGAUAAAUCGACCGCCUGGGGAGUACGGCCGCAAGGUUAAAACUCAAAUGAAUUGACGGGGGCCCGCACAAGCGGUGGAGCAUGUGGUUUAAUUCGAUGCAACGCGAAGAACCUUACCUGGUCUUGACAU